RNAcentral lists this ribosomal RNA (253 nucleotides) under uncultured bacterium. RNAcentral's name for it is "partial 16S ribosomal RNA". It matches the Rfam family "Bacterial small subunit ribosomal RNA", at positions 524 to 776 of the family's 1533-position model. The record is from RNAcentral.
GACGAACCGUGCGAACGUUGUUCGGAAUCACUGGGCUUAAAGGGCGCGUAGGCGGGUUACCAAGUCAGGGGUGAAAGCCCACAGCUCAACUGUGGAAGUGCCUUUGAUACUGGUAGUCUGGAGGGAGGUAGGGGCGUGCGGAACUUCCGGUGGAGCGGUGAAAUGCGUAGAUAUCGGAAGGAACACCGGUGGCGAAAGCGGCACGCUGGACCUCUACUGACGCUGAUGCGCGAAAGCUAGGGGAGCAAACGGG